AGUGAACGCUGGCGGUAGGCCUAACACAUGCAAGUCGAACGGCAGCACAGAGGAGCUUGCUCCUUGGGUGGCGAGUGGCGGACGGGUGAGGAAUACAUCGGAAUCUACUCUGUCGUGGGGGAUAACGUAGGGAAACUUACGCUAAUACCGCAUACGACCUACGGGUGAAAGCAGGGGAUCUUCGGACCUUGCGCGAUUGAAUGAGCCGAUGUCGGAUUAGCUAGUUGGCGGGGUAAAGGCCCACCAAGGCGACGAUCCGUAGCUGGUCUGGGAGGAUGAUCAGCCCCACUGGAACUGAGACACGGUCCAGACUCCUACGGGAGGCAGCAGUGGGGAAUAUUGGACAAUGGGCGCAAGCCUGAUCCAGCCAUACCGCGUGGGUGAAGAAGGCCUUCGGGUUGUAAAGCCCUUUUGUUGGGAAAGAAAUCCAUCUGGUUAAUACCCGGGUGGGAUGACGGUACCCAAAGAAUAAGCACCGGCUAACUUCGUGCCAGCAGCCGCGGUAA
Molecule: ribosomal RNA, 506 nt
Filed under: uncultured bacterium
Lineage: Bacteria
Description: partial 16S ribosomal RNA
Rfam family: Bacterial small subunit ribosomal RNA
Source: RNAcentral